UACGGGGGGGGCAAGCGUUGUUCGGAAUUACUGGGCGUAAAGGGCUCGUAGGCGGCCAACUAAGUCAGACGUGAAAUCCCUCAGCUUAACUGGGGAACUGCGUCUGAUACUGGAUGGCUAGAGUGUGGGAGAGGGAUGCGGAAUUCCAGGUGUAGCGGUGAAAUGCGUAGAUAUCUGGAGGAACACCGGUGGCGAAGGCGGCAUCCUGGACCACGACUGACGCUGAGUGAGCGAAAGCCAGGGGGGCAAACGGG
This 254-nucleotide ribosomal RNA is filed under the name uncultured bacterium. Its description in RNAcentral is "partial 16S ribosomal RNA". It matches the Rfam family "Bacterial small subunit ribosomal RNA", at positions 524 to 776 of the family's 1533-position model. The record is from RNAcentral.